CCGUCGAUAGCUCAGUUGGUAGAGCGGUGGACUGUAGAGGCUCACUCACGCAACACAGGCAUCCAUAGGUCGCUGGUUCGAAUCCGGCUCGACGGA
This 96-nucleotide transfer RNA is filed under the name Haemaphysalis longicornis (longhorned tick). It matches the Rfam family "tRNA". From Rfam's summary of the family: Transfer RNA (tRNA) molecules are approximately 80 nucleotides in length. Their secondary structure includes four short double-helical elements and three loops (D, anti-codon, and T loops). The record is from Rfam by way of RNAcentral. Lineage: Eukaryota; Metazoa; Arthropoda; Arachnida; Ixodida; Ixodidae.